CCGCUUAUUGCGUGAAAUUAUCUUCGUUCAAGAGACAACAGUGUCGCUUCAAUGGCCAAUACUAAAGGAUCAUCCAACAGCGUCUAUCAUUUUUGAUAUCUUUUCUCCCUCAGUCUCAUACUAACAGAACCAGGAAGAACCGAGGACCGCAUGUGCCAGACGCACUGCCGCAGCGAUGCGUCUUGCCUGGCUUCGCCGGUCCAAAAGGUGACGGGGAGACCACCGCUCAGACAAGGCUCACAGCAGAAGGCUAUAUACUUUAGAAAGGUUACCUUGCGCAAGGCGAAACUCUAGCGGUACUUAACGCAGUGAAGUACGCACUAUACAAUUCAGCGGGGGGAAAGAACGAUAUUGAAUGCUUCGCGCCAAUCGACCUUAUCGUCCUCUGUUCGUAGCUGGGCCAUGCGAACAAGACACGUGGUAGUAAAAUGCUCUGCGGUAUACGAUCGCUUGGUGGUUAUGAUUGAAGUGUAACUCUUUGUUGCCCCAGCUCUCAAGUAUCAUUGAGAUAAACUCAAUUUGCAAAAAGGCCCUUGGAAUCUCAGAGCCUGUCAUAUAGCACAGCUUCACUCUUCUAUCCGUGGGGUGAAAACUUUGCAUGCUUAUCUCUAUACCUAUAAUUACACUUGAAUGAUGAGGAGGAGUGAAAAGCUAGUUAAGUG
RNAcentral lists this small RNA (662 nucleotides) under Histoplasma capsulatum var. duboisii H88. Its description in RNAcentral is "Histoplasma capsulatum H88 hypothetical RNA". Lineage: Eukaryota; Fungi; Ascomycota; Eurotiomycetes; Onygenales; Ajellomycetaceae. The record is from RNAcentral.